AUUCGUCGACAACAGAGUUUGAUCCUGGCUCAGCCGAAUUCGUCGACAACGAGUUUGAUCCUGGCUCAGCCGAAUUCGUCGACAACAGAGUUUGAUCCUGGCUCAGCCGAAUUCGUCGACAACAGAGUUUGAUCCUGGCUCAGGACGAACGCUGGCGGCGUGCCUAAUACAUGCAAGUCGAGCGGACAGGAGGGAGCUUGCUCCCGGAAGUCAGCGGCGGACGGGUGAGUAACACGUGGGUAACCUGCCUGUAAGACUGGGAUAACUCCGGGAAACCGGGGCUAAUACCGAAUAACAUUGGAAACCUCAUGGUUUCCUUUUAAAAGGCGGCUUCGGCUGUCACUGCAGGAUGGGCCCGCGGCGCAUUAGCUAGUUGGUGAGGUAACGGCUCACCAAGGCGACGAUGCGUAGCCGACCUGAGAGGGUGAUCGGCCACACUGGGACUGAGACACGGCCCAGACUCCUACGGGAGGCAGCAGUAGGGAAUCUUCCGCAAUGGACGAAAGUCUGACGGAGCAACGCCGCGUGAGUGAAGAAGGUUUUCGGAUCGUAAAACUCUGUUGUCAGGGAAGAACAAGUACGGGAGUAACUGCCCGUACCUUGACGGUACCUGGCCAGAAAGCCACGGCUAACUACGUGCCAGCAGCCGCGGUAAUACGUAGGUGGCAAGCGUUGUCCGGAAUUAUU
Molecule: ribosomal RNA, 687 nt
Filed under: Bacillus sp. 'Mali 48'
Lineage: Bacteria; Bacillati; Bacillota; Bacilli; Caryophanales; Bacillaceae
Description: bacterial SSU rRNA
Rfam family: Bacterial small subunit ribosomal RNA (bases 117-687)
Source: RNAcentral